Molecule: long non-coding RNA, 487 nt
Organism: Mytilus trossulus (common blue mussel)
Lineage: Eukaryota; Metazoa; Mollusca; Bivalvia; Mytilida; Mytilidae
Exons: 3
Source: RefSeq, a predicted model, not a curated record
UAUCAAGGGAAGACUAGUUAAAUUAACAGCAAGAUCUGUUCAUUCAAUGGGAGACAACUCAUUUUCAUUUUCAAAUUAUUAUCAUAAACCUUGGACUAUUUUUGUUAGUUGUAAAAUCUUUUAUAUAAAUUUUACAAUAUGUGAAUGCUAUACUAUUGGUAUUUGAAGUGAGAAAUCAGAACAAUUCGUAAAGUAAUCUUUGUGUUGACGUAGAAAUUGGUUUGUUAAAAUAAUAUAUUUAUUCAUUUCUUUUUAGGUGCUUUCUGUGGCAUGUUUUCAUGGUGUGGGAAUAAGACUUGGUGGUCUAAUACAGCUAAUAUGUAGAUUAACACCACAGCUUGUCUGUAAGGAUUGAAGCUGGGAAAGGGUCAUUAGAGCUGAAUUUUAUGGAAACUGGCUGCAGCAAUGAUUAUCUGAUAAAACUAAAGAAUGUUAUUCAAAAUUUUUUGAAUUUUUCAAAAAAUGUAAUUUUUUAUAAAAAAAAAAA